Molecule: ribosomal RNA, 406 nt
Filed under: uncultured bacterium
Lineage: Bacteria
Description: partial 16S ribosomal RNA
Rfam family: Bacterial small subunit ribosomal RNA
Source: RNAcentral
AUUGAACGCUGGCGGCAGGCCUAACACAUGCAAGUCGAACGAGUGGCGGACGGGUGAGUAAUGUCUGGGAAACUGCCUGAUGGAGGGGGAUCACUACUUGAAAAGGUCGCUAAUUCCGCAUACCCUCUGAAGUGCCCAGAUGGUAUUGACUAGUGGGGGGGGUAACGGCUCACCUAGGCGACACUCCCUAGCUGGUCUGAGAGGUUGAACACCCAAACGGGAACUGAGAACCGCUCCAGCCCCUUACGGGAGGCACCCUUGGGUAACAUCGCAAAUGGAGGGCAAGCCUGCUGAAGCCCGGCGGGUUGUAUGAAGAAGCCUUUCGGGUUUAAAACUCCUUUCAGCGGGGCGGCGUUACCCGCAGAAGAAGCACCGGCUAACUCCGUGCCAGCAGCCGCGGUAAUUC